AGAGUUUGAUCCUGGCUCAGAGCGAACGCUGGCGGCAGGCUUAACACAUGCAAGUCGAGCGCCCCGCAAGGGGAGCGGCGGACGGGUGAGUAACACGUGGGAACGUGCCCUUCAGUUCGGGAUAACCAAGGGAAACUUUGGCUAACACCGGAUACGCCCUUAGGGGGAAAGGUUACGCUGAAGGAGCGGCCCGCGUCUGAUUAGCUUGUUGGUGGGGUAAUGGCCCACCAAGGCUACGAUCAGUAGCUGGUCUGAGAGGAUGAUCAGCCACACUGGGACUGAGACACGGCCCAGACUCCUACGGGAGGCAGCAGUGGGGAAUCUUGCGCAAUGGGGGAAACCCUGGCGCAGCCAUGCCGCGUGUAUGAUGAAGGUCUUAGGAUUGUAAAAUACUUUCACCGGGGACGAUAAUGACGGUACCCGGAGAAGAAGCCCCGGCUAACUUCGUGCCAGCAGCCGCGGUAAUACGAAGGGGGCUAGCGUUGCUCGGAUUUACUGGGCGUAAAGGGCGCGUAGGCGGAUGACCAAGUUGGGGGUGAAAGCCCGGGGCUCAACCUCGGAAUUGCCUUCAAAACUGGUCGUCUUGAGUAUGAGAGGGGUGUGUGGAACUCCGAGUGUAGAGGUGAAAUUCGUAGAUAUUCGGAAGAACACCAGUGGCGAAGGCGACACACUGGCUCAUUACUGACGCUGAGNNNCGAAAGCGUGGGGAGCAAACAGGAUUAGAUACCCUAGUAGUCC
Molecule: ribosomal RNA, 738 nt
Filed under: uncultured bacterium
Lineage: Bacteria
Description: bacterial SSU rRNA
Rfam family: Bacterial small subunit ribosomal RNA
Source: RNAcentral